This 479-nucleotide long non-coding RNA is filed under the name Elaeis guineensis (African oil palm). RNAcentral describes it as "long non-coding RNA (EGUI_LNC001012)". Lineage: Eukaryota; Viridiplantae; Streptophyta; Magnoliopsida; Arecales; Arecaceae. The record is from RNAcentral.
AGGUCAAAGAUGGCUUGACAACUGUCACUACUCUUUAGUGAGCUAACUUGGGAUAAAUGCAAUAAGAUGAUGCUGAUUUAUUACUUUCUGUCGAUCUUCUUCGUACAAGUUGUUUAAGACUGUGGGCGACUUCUCUUAGCAUUCAAGUUGCGAUGUCUUUUAAAAGAAUAAGCAUCUUUCCAGUCAUGUAGUAGAAUAUGUCCGAGACCAGGCCAGGCCGAAUCGAGCCACCACUUGGGAUGGGAAUGGCUCAGCCCACAUGCAUCAUUUGACGAAAGCACUUACAGUUCUUUGGCGCACCUAAUGCGGAUCAUAGUGACAGUUCUCACCACACUUUUUACUACCAUGACUUCUUACUGCUCUUGCAAUAUUUAUUUUUAGGCUUAUCUUAUCCGAGGGCUGUUGUUCUGGAGCAGAAAAUGAUAGUUUUUUACUGCUGAUCUCGCAUCGAGACCCUAAAUAAGCUCUUGGAUCAGGGA